AUGGAGUUUGACAAAAUGAAACGUGAUCUGCUUCAACAGGAACUUAAGCAAGCUGUUUGCGGACCCAAACUUCACCAAGUUAUCUCUGGUGGAUUCUCGGUUUUCGUUCAGAUGGCCACUGAACUGAUGAACCGUUCCCGUAGCUUGGCCGAAGGAGCUGUGGUCAUGGUAUGCCCAGUGCUUCUAGCAGUAACUCUUGACAAGGUCGACCUCAAAGUGUAUGGGCGCUCUGCUUUCUUCGCCAUGCUUGCCAUGGCAGGUAUCACUUUAAUAAGUGGUAUCUGCCCCUUGCUCGUGUGCUGCUUCUCCAAGAGGUUCCCGAACAUGGGUAACAUCAAGCCUGCCCCGGUGACCACGAUCCUGGUGACCCUUUCAUCUUCUUGCCUCCUCAUCCUCGCCUGCUUCAUCGCGCAGCUCGUUGUCUCCAAACAAGUUCUAAUCGUCGUGGGCGCCUUGUGUGGAGCCUUCGUCUUGGCUCGAACGGUCAUCUACUACAUUGGAGGAGAUGGUAAAACACAUUCACCGGAGCUGCACAAGGCACCCAAUGAAUUGCAUGAGCAUUCAUUGAAGAAGCUGCACAAGGUACUCGAUGAAUCGCAUGAGUUCUUGACGGGUGUGACUGCAAUCCUCUUUCUGGGGCUCGAAGGUUUGGCACUGGAAGGUCAUGAGAAUCAGAUGGUUCAAAAGGCCGGGCCUGUGGGCACCAUCAGCUUCAUAGUGUGCGCUCUUGGCGUGUGCAUGAUGUACCUCGAGAUGAUCCCCCCUUCACGUUUGAAGGAAUUGGGAGGGAUUGUGUGUUUUACUCUGACGCUAGACAGCAUCAUGGCUGGUGGUACCUUCACGGUGUUGAUGGUUGUCAUGUUUAAGUUCAUGGGGCCUCCAUCCCUGGUGCUCUUCGCACCCCCGGUAUUGAUCAUCGUCGAACUUGUGUACCAAGUCACCGUUGAUGGGAGAACGACCCUUCCCAUCAUCCACGCCGACGGAGUUAACCCAGCGUCCACACCGGCUUCAUUGGAAAUGACAAGAGUCACCUUCAUUGGGUUCUUGGUUGUGUCGAUAACAGCCAUCCGCAACCCUUCGCCCAGCAUGUUAACCAGUUGUUUCCUACUAUUUGCGGCAUCGGCUAUUGUGUUUGGUCUCUCAUGGAGGCUCCUGUCACAGACCCAGAUAACGAACCGUCUGGCGCAAAAUCAUGCUUCACCUGACAUUGUUGCUUCCUCUGCCGACCUGGCUUCCUUAUGCACACAUUUCUGCAUUGUAAUCACUAUGAUUCUAUUCCUAGCAAUGGCCGGGACAGCCAGAGGAAAAUGA
Molecule: ribosomal RNA, 1311 nt
Filed under: Triticum aestivum (bread wheat)
Lineage: Eukaryota; Viridiplantae; Streptophyta; Magnoliopsida; Poales; Poaceae
Description: partial small subunit ribosomal RNA
Source: RNAcentral